Molecule: long non-coding RNA, 863 nt
Organism: Humulus lupulus (European hop)
Lineage: Eukaryota; Viridiplantae; Streptophyta; Magnoliopsida; Rosales; Cannabaceae
Exons: 3
Source: RefSeq, a predicted model, not a curated record
AAAACAUUUCAUGAAAGAGCAUAUUGGGUUACAGCAUCAGUUACAAUCAUAAAGCCAAAGCAAACACUAUGGUACAUGAUUUGUAAUAAAUGCAAAAAAUUCACAGGUGCUGAUGUGAUGCAAAUCAACCUUUCACUUGUAAUAUUUGCUUGAAAAAAGAAUGCCUGGCUAAACCAAGGGCUCGAAUUAUGGUUGAACUUCGUGAUCAAACAGGAACUUUAGAAGCCAUUAUGUUUGGUAAAAAUGCUGAAAUCUUCCUAACCUUUUCUGCAAGCACUUUGAUGAAUUACACCAUACAGGAAACAACAAACCUCUUACACAAAAUAAAUCAUGUAUCAACCAACACAAAAUAUUGCAUAUAUCUGAGAACAAUGAAAUCUGUGGUUAGUAAUAAAUCAGAUGUGCAGUAUAUUGUGACUACAUUCCUACCAAUAUCAACAAAGGAAACAAAAUCAGCUAUUGAAGGAGAAAUCAAAACAACUGAUAAAGAAUAAGCAAAACCAAUCAGUGAAUGCUCAACUGCUAAAGAAAGUACUUCUGAAGAGCAUCAUGAGUUCUUUGAUGCAUCAGCUACUGCUUUGGAUAGUAUUUCAGGAACUUCAAGCAGUGAAGUUAACAAUUAGCUUGCUACUUUAGUACUUGUAUAUAUGACUUUUUUGACUUUAUGUAUCACUUCACUGUAAGGUAGUUUUUGCAUUGUAUAGUUUUUGAAUUGGACUGCAAAAUAGGUUGCUAAAUAUGUCUAUUUUUGUCUCAAAUAGUCUUUGAGAAUGUAUAUAACAGUAAAAUUACCCUCUUGUUUUUUGCAAUUAUAUCAACCGUUCUAUAUGUUUUUUAUCUACAUAUUUACUGUAAUUUCUUCA